UAGAAGCAGAGCACGAAGGUGAGGAACACCGCCGCCACGGCCGCCAGCAUCGUCGUCGCCGCCGCGACCGUCGUGGCCGUCACCGCCAUCGACGAUCGAUCGAUCGACCGACCAAUCAACCUCACGGCCUGCCCUGCCUUCCUUCCCCUUCCUCUGCCUUGGCUUCAAAGAACCUUGAAUUAUGCUCCUCCCUUACGCGAUCAGGAUCCUCUGCUGCUGGUGUACCCGUCUCCCCUGCUGCUGCAGCCGCGGGCUCCUCGGCGUCCCUGCCGCGAGGCUCUUUGAUGGCAUAAAUGUUAAAGCGCUCGGAGCGUUGGGGAUUUCGAAUGAUUAGCGCGCUACUUAUACGAGGGCGGCGCGGGAUUGGGGAGGAGGAUAAGACCCGGGCGAGAGAGGAAGGCUGGUCUGGCUUCGGUUUGGAGGGGAAGGUGAGCGAACCGUGGAGGCUGCGGCGCGGGCUAUGGCCCUGGAGGGAAAGCGAGGACGGCGACGGUUUUGAAAGCGUUGACGCGGUGCAAGUGGAGCUGUGGAAUGGAACCAGGCCUCCGCCUCUCCGGUUGGACCUCCCUCCCACGGCCGUCGCCGUCUAAUCCCCCGGCGAUGGCGCCGCCGAUGUUCUGUUCCGAUUCGCGCCGCUGCACGGUUGCACCGGAUGCAACGGCCCGGUGAGCCGCGACACCGACC
This 684-nucleotide long non-coding RNA is filed under the name Setaria viridis. Its description in RNAcentral is "long non-coding RNA (SVIR_LNC002458)". The record is from RNAcentral. Lineage: Eukaryota; Viridiplantae; Streptophyta; Magnoliopsida; Poales; Poaceae.